Molecule: long non-coding RNA, 272 nt
Filed under: Brassica napus (rape)
Lineage: Eukaryota; Viridiplantae; Streptophyta; Magnoliopsida; Brassicales; Brassicaceae
Description: long non-coding RNA (BNAP_LNC016816)
Source: RNAcentral
UUUAGGAUUUAGGGUUUAGGGUUUAGGGUUUAGAGUUUAGGGUUUAGGAUUUAGAUUUUAGGGUUUAGGGUUUAGGGUUUUAGGGUUUAGGGUUUAGAGUUUAGGGUUUAGAGUUUAGAGUUGAGAAAUGAGGUUUUGAGGAUAAGAUUUCAAAUUUUGAAAAAUAAAAAAAUUAAAAUUUUCAAAAGAUAAACUUAGAAAUGUGCUAUUUUGGUCAUUUUAGUUUUUGAGUGCUAUUUUUGUGAUAUAAAUUUAGAAAUGUGCUAUUUUGG